This 249-nucleotide ribosomal RNA is filed under the name uncultured Fluviicola sp. RNAcentral describes it as "partial 16S ribosomal RNA". It matches the Rfam family "Bacterial small subunit ribosomal RNA", at positions 355 to 601 of the family's 1533-position model. The record is from RNAcentral. Lineage: Bacteria; Pseudomonadati; Bacteroidota; Flavobacteriia; Flavobacteriales; Crocinitomicaceae.
UGAGGAAUAUUGGUCAAUGGGCGCAAGCCUGAACCAGCCAUGCCGCGUGCAGGAAGACGGUCCUAUGGAUUGUAAACUGCUUUUAUUUGGGAAUAAACCUAUUUACGUGUAGAUAGCUGAAGGUACCAAAUGAAUAAGCACCGGCUCGCUCCGUGCCAGCAGCCGCGGUAAUACGGAGGGUGCAAGCGUUAUCCGGAAUCAUUGGGUUUAAAGGGCCCGCAGGCGGAUUUAUAAGUCAGUGGCGAAAGC